AAGGCCUUAGCUUAAUUAAAGUGUUUGGGUUGCAUUCAAGAGAUGUAUAUUAAGAUUAUACAGGUCUUA
RNAcentral lists this transfer RNA (69 nucleotides) under Eremias dzungarica. RNAcentral describes it as "tRNA-Ala". Lineage: Eukaryota; Metazoa; Chordata; Lepidosauria; Squamata; Lacertidae. The record is from RNAcentral.